UACCUUAUUUUAUCAAUUUUUAUUUUUUUUUGUGUAGUUGAUAGUACUCUGUACUCAUUCGUGGCAAAUACAAGAAAAUCUCUCCAUGAGAACUAAUCAAAGAGCAUUACUUGCAGAGGAGGAAAAAGAAAAAACCAGCUAGCUGCAAGAAACACAAGAUAACCCAAGUUUCUAAAUUUUUUGUGAAGUUCACCACACAUAUUACAUGGAGAGUAGCAAUAUAGCUAUUAAUAGAACAAGUGUUGUUGUUGUGGUUGGAAUUAAGAAGGAAAAAAAUAAGGGGGGGUGGAGGUGAAUAACCUGUUGUGGAAAUCUUAAAGACUGCUAGUAAUGGUAGAAGAAGUAUAAGCAUUGAUUUUCAAGGGAAAGAAGCUGGUUCUUCGAAAGCAACCUAAUGUUUAAUGGGUAAUGUUCGUGGCGUUGAAUCAUCUGAUGAGUGUAGUACUAUUACAAAUUGUGAUCCUAAAGCCAUGAUAAGCUUAGUUGGAAUAUAAUCAGAAGGCGAACGAGCAGGAGAUAUAUUGUUGUAAUUACAGGUUGAAGAGGCUUCACAAGCUUAUUUCACCAUGAAGUUUUGAGUUCGAGAAAUUAAGCCAGCAGGGGAAAAAGCGAAGAAUUUUGAUCAAAUUCAGCCUGAAUCACCUUUCGCGGAGACCUUAAAGACUGCUAGUAUGGGUCGAAGAAGCAUAAGCAUUGAUUCUCAAGGGAAAAAACCUGGUUCUUGUAAAGCAACUUUAUGUUUAAUGACUAAUGUCCAUGGCACUGAAUCAUCUCAUAAGUGUGGACCGUUGAAGAGGCUUCAUAAGCUUAUUAUUUUUUCAAUAAGUCUUGAGUUCGAGAAAUUGAGCCAACACAUUUUCAACACACUUCACAU
Molecule: long non-coding RNA, 874 nt
Filed under: Capsicum annuum
Lineage: Eukaryota; Viridiplantae; Streptophyta; Magnoliopsida; Solanales; Solanaceae
Description: long non-coding RNA (CANN_LNC022105)
Source: RNAcentral